GGGCUUGUGGUCUAGCUGGUUAUGACGUCGCCUUGACACGGCGGAGGUCUUGAGUUCAAAUCUCAACGAGCCCA
This 74-nucleotide transfer RNA is filed under the name Methanomicrobium antiquum. Its description in RNAcentral is "tRNA-Val". It matches the Rfam family "tRNA". From Rfam's summary of the family: Transfer RNA (tRNA) molecules are approximately 80 nucleotides in length. Their secondary structure includes four short double-helical elements and three loops (D, anti-codon, and T loops). Further hydrogen bonds mediate the characteristic L-shaped molecular structure. tRNAs have two regions of fundamental functional importance: the anti-codon, which is responsible for specific mRNA codon recognition, and the 3' end, to which the tRNAs corresponding amino acid is attached (by aminoacyl-tRNA synthetases). tRNAs cope with the degeneracy of the genetic code in two manners: having more than one tRNA (with a specific anti-codon) for a particular amino acid; and 'wobble' base-pairing, i.e. permitting non-standard base-pairing at the 3rd anti-codon position. Lineage: Archaea; Methanobacteriati; Methanobacteriota; Methanomicrobia; Methanomicrobiales; Methanomicrobiaceae. RNAcentral also lists the same sequence under 2 other names. The record is from RNAcentral.